RNAcentral lists this ribosomal RNA (442 nucleotides) under uncultured bacterium. RNAcentral describes it as "SSU rRNA". It matches the Rfam family "Bacterial small subunit ribosomal RNA", at positions 26 to 518 of the family's 1533-position model. The record is from RNAcentral.
AGAGCGAACGCUGGCGGCAGGCCUAAAACAUGCAAGUCGAACGGAUCCUUCGGGAUUAGUGGCGGACGGGUGAGUAACACGUGGGAACGUGCCUUUUGGUUCGGAACAACUCAGGGAAACUUGAGCUAAUACCGAAUGUGCCCUUCGGGGGAAAGAUUUAUCGCCAUUAGAGCGGCCCGCGUCUGAUUAGCUAGUUGGUGAGGUAAAGGCUCACCAAGGCUACGAUCAGUAGCUGGUCUGAGAGGAUGAUCAGCCACACUGGGACUGAGACACGGCCCAGACUCCUACGGGAGGCAGCAGUUAGGAAUCUGCGCAAUGGGGGAAACCCUGACGCAGCCAUGCCGCGUGAAUGAUGAAGGUCUUAGGAUUGUAAAAUUCUUUCAGCGGGACGAUAAUGACGGUACCCGCAGAAGAGCUCCGGCUAACUCGUGCCAGCAGCCGC